UCCGGUGACGAUACCGCAGUGGUCACACCUGUUCCCAUCCCGAACACAGAAGUUAAGCACUGCAGGGGCGAAAAUAGCUGAGCGGACCUCAGUGAAACAAGCACGCUGCCGGGU
This 114-nucleotide ribosomal RNA is filed under the name Stecheria intestinalis. The record is from RNAcentral. Lineage: Bacteria; Bacillati; Bacillota; Erysipelotrichia; Erysipelotrichales; Erysipelotrichaceae.